AGACCCGAAACCCGGUGAUCUAGCCAUGGGCAGGUUGAAGGUUGGGUAACACUAACUGGAGGACCGAACCGACUAAUGUUGAAAAAUUAGCGGAUGACCUGUGGCUGGGGGUGAAAGGCCAAUCAAACCGGGAGAUAGCUGGUUCUCCCCGAAAGCUAUUUAGGUAGCGCCUCGUGAAUUCAUCUCCGGGGGUAGAGCACUGUUUCGGCCAGGGGGCCAUCCCGGCUUACCAAUCCGAUGCAAACUGCGAAUACCGGAGAAUGUUAUCACGGGAGACACACGGCGGGUGCUAACGUCCGUCGUGAAGAGGGAAACAACCCAGACCGCCAGCUAAGGUCCCAAAGUCAUGGUUAAGUGGGAAACGAUGUGGGAAGGCCCAGACAGCCAGGAUGUUGGCUUAGAAGCAGCCAUCAUUUAAAGAAAGCGUAAUAGCUCACUGGUCGAGUCGGCCUGCGCGGAAGAUGUAACGGGGCUAAACCAUGCACCGAAGCUGCGGCAGCGAACGUAUCACCCAAGACAACUUUACACAGUUGACGCCUGACGGAGCGAAGCGACGUCAAAGCGUUUUACAACGUCGAGUUGGCUUAGGGAUACGUUCGUUGGGUAGGGGAGCGUUCUGUAAGCCGUUGAAGGUGUGUCGUGAGGCAUGCUGGAGGUAUCAGAAGUGCGAAUGCUGACAUAAGUAACGAUAAAGCGGGUGAAAAGCCCGCUCGCCGGAAGACCAAGGGUUCCUGUCCAACGUUAAUCGGGGCAGGGUGAGUCGACCCCUAAGGCGAGGCCGAAAGGCGUAGUCGAUGGGAAACGGGUUAAUAUUCCCGUACUUGGUGUUACUGCGAAGGGGGGACGGAGAAGGCUAUGUUGGCCGGGCGACGGUUGUCCC
RNAcentral lists this ribosomal RNA (880 nucleotides) under Salmonella enterica. Its description in RNAcentral is "partial 23S ribosomal RNA". It matches the Rfam family "Bacterial large subunit ribosomal RNA", at positions 711 to 1508 of the family's 2925-position model. Lineage: Bacteria; Pseudomonadati; Pseudomonadota; Gammaproteobacteria; Enterobacterales; Enterobacteriaceae. The record is from RNAcentral.